GCCCUUCCUACGGGAGGCAGCAGUAGGGAAUCUUCCGCAAUGGACGCAAGUCUGACGGAGCAACGCCGCGUGAGUGAUGAAGGUUUUCGGAUCGUAAAGCUCUGUUGCCAGGGACGAAAAGCGGUGGGAGUAACUGCCCGCCGUGUGACGGUACCUGAGAAGAAAGCCCCAGCUAACUACGUGCCAGCAGCCGCGGUAAU
This 200-nucleotide ribosomal RNA is filed under the name uncultured bacterium. RNAcentral describes it as "partial 16S ribosomal RNA". It matches the Rfam family "Bacterial small subunit ribosomal RNA", at positions 332 to 524 of the family's 1533-position model. The record is from RNAcentral.